AACGCACAUUGCGCCCAUUAGUAUUCUAGUGGGCAUGCCUGUUCGAGCGUCAUUUCGACCAUUAAGCCCCUGUUGCUUAGCGUUGGGAGCCUGCUGGCCUGGCCUGCAGCUCCUCAAAGUUAGUGGCGGAGUUAGUGUAUACUCUAGGCGUAGUAAUUUUAUCUCGCUUCUGUGGUUACGCUGGCGCCUGCCGUAAAGCACCCAACUUUUAAUAGGUUUGACCUCGGAUCAGGUAGGAAUACCCGCUGAACUUAA
Molecule: unclassified non-coding RNA, 255 nt
Filed under: uncultured fungus
Lineage: Eukaryota; Fungi
Description: sequence contains ITS2
Source: RNAcentral